AUGCAUGUGUCAGUACAGGCCGCUCUAAGGCGAAACCGCGAAUGGCUCAUUAAAUCAGUUAUCAUUCAUUUGAUCCAAACCUAUUACUCGGAUAACCCUGGUAAUUCUAGAGCUAAUACGUGACGAUUAMAACUCCGACUGGWAGGGAGGAGUGCUUUUAUUAGUURAAAACCAAUCGGGCCUCGGUCCGUCCACUUUACUGUGAYGACUCUGAAUAACUUUGYGCCGAGAGCACGGUCUCCGCACCGGCUCCGUAUCUUUCGAGUUUCUGCCUUAUCAUGCUGUGGAUUGUAGGCCAUGCGCCUACAGUGGCUGUUACGGGUGACGGAGAAUCAGGGUUCGAUUCCGGAGAGGGAGCCUGAGAAACGGCUACCACA
This 377-nucleotide ribosomal RNA is filed under the name Brachycarpus sp. USNM IZ 1450110. Its description in RNAcentral is "SSU rRNA". The record is from RNAcentral. Lineage: Eukaryota; Metazoa; Arthropoda; Malacostraca; Decapoda; Palaemonidae.